RNAcentral lists this ribosomal RNA (562 nucleotides) under Trichoderma sp. RNAcentral's name for it is "eukaryotic LSU rRNA". The stretch from base 170 to 323 matches the Rfam family "5.8S ribosomal RNA". Lineage: Eukaryota; Fungi; Ascomycota; Sordariomycetes; Hypocreales; Hypocreaceae. The record is from RNAcentral.
UUCCAAACCAAUGUGAACCAUACCAAACUGUUGCCUCGGCGGGGUCACGCCCCGGGUGCGUCGCAGCCCCGGAACCAGGCGCCCGCCGGAGGGACCAACCAAACUCUUUCUGUAGUCCCCUCGCGGACGUUAUUUUUACAGCUCUGAGCAAAAAUUCAAAAUGAAUCAAAACUUUCAACAACGGAUCUCUUGGUUCUGGCAUCGAUGAAGAACGCAGCGAAAUGCGAUAAGUAAUGUGAAUUGCAGAAUUCAGUGAAUCAUCGAAUCUUUGAACGCACAUUGCGCCCGCCAGUAUUCUGGCGGGCAUGCCUGUCCGAGCGUCAUUUCAACCCUCGAACCCCUCCGGGGGUCCGGCGUUGGGGAUCGGGAACCCCUAAGACGGGAUCCCGGCCCCGAAAUACAGUGGCGGUCUCGCCGCAGCCUCUCAUGCGCAGUAGUUUGCACAACUCGCACCGGGAGCGCGGCGCGUCCACGUCCGUAAAACACCCAACUUCUGAAAUGUUGACCUCGGAUCAGGUAGGAAUACCCGCUGAACUUAAGCAUAUCAAUAAGCGGGAAGGAA